RNA transcript from Boleophthalmus pectinirostris (great blue-spotted mudskipper), 4602 nucleotides. It is a transcript of the gene named transmembrane channel-like 6b, with no coding region annotated. The record is from RefSeq and is a predicted model, not a curated record. NCBI's taxonomy places the organism in Eukaryota, Metazoa, Chordata, Actinopteri, Gobiiformes, Gobiidae. The transcript is spliced from 22 exons.
UGCUGAAUUGGUACGUCCCGCAGUACUUCGUGUGAGCGUGUUGACUGACUGAAAGUACCGAGUUGCACUGUGAACGGGUUUGUCGGGUUUUAGCUUCGAGGUACAGGCACAAACAAACAGCAUGCUGGGAGUGGAGCGGGCAGCCGAAUGGGUGUGGCCCUGAUCCCGCGCUCCGGGGCUGUGACCAAAUAGAAAUCAGCUCAAGAAAAAUGGCUCGAAACGUGAACUUUGACCAUGACUACGGUUUGUUGGAAGAUGGAUUAGGGAGUCCAGUGGAUGAAGCGGGGGUUCACGACUCGUUCCAUCAGCUGAUCGAGGAGCAGAGUCAAAACGCUGAAUUCUCGGAGGCCUAUGAGCUACAGCAGCUGCAGAGGGAGCUGGAGGAGGAGGGGAGAGAUGAUGUGGCGUACUUGUCCAGUCCCAGUAAUGACCUCUACAGGAGGAGACAAAAGAGUCCAGAGGAGGCAGAAGAGGGGCAGACGGACACUUUAAUGGGGGAGCGAUGGUCCUCUGACACUCUCAAAGUCCUGUCCUCCAUGCCCAGUCGAACCAUUGGCCGAAACAGAGGAGCCAUCAUCUCUCAGUAUUACAACCGCACCAUGCAGCUGCGCAGGCGGCGACAGAGCAGACCCUCCAUCAAAGACUUCUCCCGAUCGUCCCGUCCCAGUAUCCGAGGCUACGGCAUCGAGGCGGACAGCACAGACACAGAUGGGACAGAGGGAGUCAGUAAGAGGGACCGUUUGGUGAACAACCUCCAGAACCUGUCGGUGACUGACAGGGUGAGGAUGUUGCGGGAGAUGCCUCUCAGCUUCACUGAAAAAUCAGAACUCAGGCGGUUGGCGUUACAGAAGGAGCAUCGCACCAUGUCAGGUCGUCAGAUCCCCUGCUGCAGUGGCCUAAAGUAUUACAUUAUAAUUGUGGCGAGGCGGGGCUGGUACAGCUGGCUGUCAUUCCUGCACUCCCUGCAGCUCUGGCAGGUGGCACUAAAGAGGGUCAGCGGACGCUUUGGGACGGGGGUGUUGUCUUACUUCCUCUUCCUCCAGACACUGCUUUUCUUCAACCUCUUCCUCUUCCUUGUCACUUUGGCCUUUUUGGUGAUCCCCCAAGUGGUGCAGCCACCUGACCCCCACCCACAGAACCUCCCCUUCAAGGGACUGGAACUACUCUCAGGGGGGGGAUACUUCUCAGACACUGUGAUGUACUUUGGGUACUACUGUAACUACACAUUGGGUUGCAGAGGUGAUGAAACCAAAGGGGAGUGUCGAUCUACACUCUCGUACAACAUGCCACUGGCCUAUUUCUUUACCAUUUUAGCCUCAUUUUUCAUCACCUGUAUCAUCCUUGUUUACAGUAUGUCGAAAUCUUUUGGUAAAAGCUUCAGAAUUGACAAAUCGCACAGUGUUUUGGCUAUGAAGGUGUUCUGCUCCUGGGACUUCAAAGUCAUCAAAAAGACUUCUGUGAAACUCAUGUCCGAGAAUAUUCACACACAAAUAAAGGAGCUGUUGGCAGAGGUGAACCACAGUCAGGUUGAAAACACUGUGUGUCAGAGGCUAUGGGUAGUCACAGUUCAUGGUAUAGCAUGGGCCAUCUGCAUCGCCACCACCACUGGAUGUGCUUUUGGCAUUUACUACUUCUCUGAUUACAUGCACAAGAAUUUGGAGCACCUGUCCCGUAUUAUCAAAAAGGACCCUAUUGUGACCGAGGCGAGUAUGCUGGCCCUCCCUGUGCUGGUGUCUGUGAUAAACCUGUUAGCUCCUGGUUUGUUCAACGCUGCUGCCUGGAUGGAGGAGUACAACUCGCCUCCUGUCCGCACUUAUGUGGCCAUUAGCAGAAAUUUGAUGCUCAAAAUGAGUGUGCUGGGAGUCCUUUGUUACCACUGGUUGUUCCGUGUUGCAAAAGACCCUGGGAGUAUUGGCUUAACGUGCUGGGAAACAUUUGUUGGACAAGAACUGUAUCGCUUCCUGAUUAUAGACUUCAUUUUCACACUAUUGGACACUUUGUUUGGAGAGUUUCUUUGGAGACUGUUUUCAGAGAAGAUGCUAAAGCGCCGGAGGAAGCCUGUGUUUGAUAUCCCCAAAAAUGUCUUGGACCUUAUUUAUGGACAGACGUUGGCUUGGUUAGGUGUCCUCUUCACCCCAAUACUCCCAGCAGUGCAAGUGCUUAAACUCCUGUUGCUUUUUUACAUAAAGAAGGGGAGUGUGAUGAUGAACUGUCAGGCCCCCAGGAAGCCGUACAGAGUGAGCCAGAUGACCACAGUGUUCAUCACGCUCCUCUGUAUCCCAUCUUUUGUGGGAGUAUCUGUCUGUGUCAUAUAUACCAUGUGGAGUAUUGCCCCAUCCUCUUCAUGUGGUCCGUUUCGAGGGCUCGACACAAUGAUCCAGGCGGGAAAGAGCUGGGUACAGAACCUGGAAAAGGAGAACCCCAAACUGGCAGUGUUGGCCAGAGCACACUCCUAUUUGGUUGAACACCCGUUUUUCCUGUUUGUCGGAGCAGGCAUCUUUCUAAUAAUCAUCUACUUCCACAGUCAGGUGGUUGAUGGGCAGAGGAAAAUCAUUGACCUGCUACAAGAACAAAUAAAAAAUGAGGGAGAGGACAAAAAGUUUCUCAUCACUCGUCUUCAGUACAUCCAUGAAAAAAGGCGGACUCCAGCACGAAGACUUACCAGUCAGGACUCUUGCUGUUGAAUGGGCUCCUUUUUAAACACUGGGACAAACCUGGACGAGCUAAUAACUGGAGUUUAAUUUGAAUCAAGUAUAUAUAUAUAUAUAUAUAUAUAUAUAUAUAUAUACAAAAAAAUUAUUAGUUUUUUUAUAGCUGCACUUUUAGACCAACUGUGAACUUUUGGUUUCACCUGUUUUUAUACUUUUGUUACACUGUAUAAUGUAGAUCAGCCUGAAUGUUGUUGGUUUAUGUAUGAGAGUAUUGAAAGGUGUUUUAGUAUUGUUUUAGUGUUAUAAAUUAAAUUAUGUUAUACUUUUUAAACAAUAGACUUGCUUGCCAAUUAACUAUUACAGUAAUACAAAAGGUUUAUUUUUUAUUACUUUGAGAAAAUUUUUGUAGCUUUAUUAGCAAGCUUUAAAAGUAAUAUUAUUAUUAUUAAAUUAUUAUUCAUCCAAGUAAGAACAAGCAGCAUAUUUGGUGAAAAGUAGAAACAGCAGCACCAUAGAGGGAUGACUGUAGAGAGCACCAAUACUUCCCUUAGAGAUUUUGUCUGCCUAUACAAAAAUAGUAAUAACACAAUACAACAGUGCCUCUGUCUUUGUCCACACAGCUCCAAGUUAGAGCAGCAUAUCUAUGUACUAAGCUUAACUCGACCGGCACAGUAUGUACAAUUGUCCAGUUUUGAAGACAAUAUUUCCCAAGCACAAUGAUUUAUGCGAGUCCUGUUGUGCCUAGUGCUUUGCUGUUUGUGUAUAUUCAGCUUCAUCUUCAUAGUACAGUUGUGAGUCUCAGCUGCCAUUGUUGAGCAUACCCAGUAGCUUUCGGGGGUCCAUGCCUUGCUGCUGAGCCAUUUUCUGCACAUCGAAACCCAUGUGCUUGAGGAACUGUAUGACGCUCAUCUCCUGCCCUGUCAGCUGGUCGCGGAUGGUGGGGCAGGUGGGGUUACAGUGGGGCCAGGGGCAGCUGUCCACUAGGUGCACAGGGCAGCCCCUCAGAGGUGUCCGCUGCUUUAGGGUGCUGUGGUUCCCAUGGCUCACAUUUGUAUUGUCCUGCAGGCUACGGUCCCAACAGUGCAGAGCUCGAGGUAAAGACGUGCCUUUGACUUGAAUCUCCAUCCAGUUUCUGCAUAUGAGAAAAAACAGCAAAUGUAUUUAUCUACAAUUAAAAGCAAACUUUUUUUUGUAUGGUGAAGAGUGCUCAAAAUGCCACCUAUAAACUGGAAGCUGAAACCCAUGAUUUUCCCACCUUUCAACAUUACAACAACAUUCCUAUGUGAAAGGAAUGUUUAUGUUUCUAAUAUAACAAACAUCUGCAAUUUAAUGUGUCCAUUAAAAAGGCAGUAUAAGCCCACCAGAUUGUAGCUUUAUUUAAGUGCUGAUCAAACUAAUUACUUACGUUCUGGUGAUGAGUUCAUGUGAGAGACAGGCUGGAGAGAAAAUGGCCCUGCCACAGAAACAUAAAAAUAUUAAUUCUUUAUUUUUGUAAACAAAAAUAAAGAAAUAUUGUACGUGUGUGAUCUUCUUACGAGACGUCCCGCAGUGUGGCUCUCAGCUCCUGCCCCAGCGUCUGGAUGUACCUCCAUUGCCCCUCAUGGACAGGCUGACCUGUGAGGUGUACAUUAUCCACUGUAAGCUGGGCCUCGUCAAACAACCACUGCACCACAAACACUGGACCUGGAGAGGGACAUUAUUAGUUGGAUGGACAGGGCCAGUUUUAGCAAUAGGCACAAACAUGUACAUGUAAUGCAUAAGCUUUAGUAUAUUGACCAUUUAUAUUAACAGUCUUUGUUUUUACUUACUGCUCAGAGUGGGAAAGACUUUAUAUCCAAAGAAGCAGUUCCACUCUUCUCCAACAUGAGCCUGUCUGCAGUUUUCUGGCACUUGUGCACCCCAAUAUCUGUAAUAACAAAAAUAAAAAAACAUGACUUAAAUGUUACACAUA